Molecule: ribosomal RNA, 604 nt
Filed under: uncultured Opitutaceae bacterium
Lineage: Bacteria; Pseudomonadati; Verrucomicrobiota; Opitutia; Opitutales; Opitutaceae
Description: bacterial SSU rRNA
Rfam family: Bacterial small subunit ribosomal RNA
Source: RNAcentral
GGGCCCGCACAAGCGGUGGAGCAUGUGGCUCAAUUCGAUGCAACGCGAAGAACCUUACCAGGCCUUGACAUGCACUAGACAGACUCUGAAAGGAGUCCUCCCUUCGGGGCUGGUGCACAGGUGCUGCAUGGCUGUCGUCAGCUCGUGUCGUGAGAUGUUGCGUUAAGUCGCGCAACGAGCGCAACCCCUGUCCUUAGUUGCCAUCAGGUAAAGCUGGGCACUCUAGGGAGACAAACCCUCUCUGAGGGUGGGAAGGUGGGGAUGACGUCAAGUCAGGAUGGCCCUUACGGCCUGGGCUGCACACGUGCUACAAUGCCCGAUACAGAGGGACGCAAUACCGUGAGGUGGAGCAAAUCCUAAAAAUCGGGCCCAGUUCAGAUUGCAGUCUGCAACUCGACUGCAUGAAGCCGGAAUCGCUAGUAAUGGCGCAUCAGCUACGGCGCCGUGAAUACGUUCCCGGGCCUUGUACACACCGCCCGUCACGUCAUGAAAGCCGGUUUCGCCCGAAGUGCGUUUGCCAACCAGCAAUGGAGGCGGCGCCCUAAGGUGAGGCUGGUGAUUGGGACGAAGUCGUAACAAGGUAACCGUAGGGGAACCUGCGGUU